RNAcentral lists this ribosomal RNA (492 nucleotides) under uncultured bacterium. RNAcentral describes it as "partial 16S ribosomal RNA". It matches the Rfam family "Bacterial small subunit ribosomal RNA", at positions 29 to 507 of the family's 1533-position model. The record is from RNAcentral.
AGUGAACGCUGGCGGUAGGCCUAACACAUGCAAGUCGAACGGCAGCACAGUAAGAGCUUGCUCUUACGGGUGGCGAGUGGCGUACGGGUGAGGAAUACAUCGUAAUCUACUUUUUCGUGGGGGAUAACGUAGGGAAACUUACGCUAAUACCGCAUACGACCUACGGGUGAAAGCAUGGGAUCUUCGGACCUUGCGCGAUUGAAUGAGCCGAUGUCGGAUUAGCUAGUUGGCGGGGUAAAGGCCCACCAAGGCGACGAUCCGUAGCUGGUCUGAGAGGAUGAUCAGCCACACUGGAACUGAGACAGGGUCCAGACUCCUACGGGAGGCAGCAGUGGGGAAUAUUGGACAAUGGGCGGAAGCAUGAUCCAGCCAUACCGCGUGGGUGAAGAAGGCCUUCGGGUUGUAAAGACCUUUUGUUGGGAAAGAAAAGCAGCAGGUUAAUACCCCGCUGUUCUGACGGUACCCAAAGAAUAAGCACCGGCCAACUUCGUG